UACGUAGGGUGCAAGCGUUAAUCGGAAUUACUGGGCGUAAAGCGUGCGCAGGCGGUUGUGCAAGACCGAUGUGAAAUCCCCGGGCUUAACCUGGGAAUGGCAUUGGUGACUGCACGGCUAGAGUGUGUCAGAGGGUAGUGGAAUUCCCGGUGUAGUGGUGAAAUGCGUAGAUAUCGGGAGGAACACCAGUGGCGAAGGCGACUACCUGGCCUGUUCUUGACGCUGAGGCGCGAAAGCUAGGGGAGCAAACGGG
Molecule: ribosomal RNA, 253 nt
Filed under: uncultured bacterium
Lineage: Bacteria
Description: partial 16S ribosomal RNA
Rfam family: Bacterial small subunit ribosomal RNA
Source: RNAcentral